AAAGUGUAUAUUUGUUGUACUAACCCAGCUUUACUGGCACCGAACUGGAUGCAUUUGUCCUCUCUGGACCUGAAGGUAAGUUUGCAUAAUUUUAAAUAAUUGUCUGAUUUUCAUUAAUGUUCCCUGUUUGACUUGUAAAAUUGUAAAACAAAAUUAUAUUGGUUGUACCAACUUUACACCCAUCAAACUGGAAGGAUUCCUCCUCUCUGGACCUGAAGGUAAGUUUGCAUCAUUUUAAAUAAUUGUCUGAAUUUAUUUCAUGUUGGCUGUUUGACUCGUAAAAUUGUAGAAAAUGCAUAUUUGUUGUACUAACCCCAGUUUACAGGUACUUAAAUUUUGGGAUUUCUCCUCUCUGAACCUGAAGGUAAGUUUGCAUAAUUUUAAAUAAUUGUCUGAUUUUAUUUCAUGUUAGCUGUUUGACUCGUAAAAUUGUAGAAAAUGCAUAUUUGUUGUACUAACCCCAGUUUACAGGUACUUAAAUUGUGGGAUUUCUCCUCUCUGGACCUGAAGGUAAGUUUGCAUCAUUUUAAAUCAUUGUCUGAUUUUCAUUCAUGUUUCCUGCUUAACUUGUAAAAUUGUAGAAAAUUUAUAUUUGUUUUACUAACCCCAGUUUACAAGCAUUGAACUGGACACACAACAUAAAAUUGAAAACAAUCAAUUGAGAUUCCUUUUUAUGUUCUUUAAUGUCUCUUGAAAACUUCCUUAAUAUUGAUGUUAUUUAUUAAACUUUUUCCAACCAGUA
Fundulus heteroclitus (mummichog) is the source of this 742-nucleotide long non-coding RNA. RefSeq lists it as uncharacterized. The transcript is spliced from 2 exons. The record is from RefSeq and is a predicted model, not a curated record. Lineage: Eukaryota; Metazoa; Chordata; Actinopteri; Cyprinodontiformes; Fundulidae.